Apis florea (little honeybee) is the source of this 118-nucleotide long non-coding RNA. Lineage: Eukaryota; Metazoa; Arthropoda; Insecta; Hymenoptera; Apidae. The record is from RefSeq and is a predicted model, not a curated record.
GGAUACAACAGGUUCCGUGGUGUAGCGGUUAUCACAUCUGCUUUACACGCAGAAGGUCGCCGGUUCGAUCCCGGUCGGAACCACGAUCUUUCUCUUUUUUUAUAUUUUUACUUUUAAA